Molecule: ribosomal RNA, 274 nt
Filed under: uncultured bacterium
Lineage: Bacteria
Description: partial 16S ribosomal RNA
Rfam family: Bacterial small subunit ribosomal RNA
Source: RNAcentral
UCCAUCUUGUAGCAAUACAAGUGAAGACCUAGUGGCGAACGGGUGGGGAACACGUGAGAAAUUUGCCCCGAACUUUGGGAUAACAGUUGGAAACGACUGCUAAUACCGAAUGCCGUUACGAAGUGGCAUCACUUUGUAACGAAAGAAUCUCGGUUCGGGAGAAUCUCGCGGCCUAUCAGCUUGUUGGUGAGGUAACGGCUCACCAAGGCUACGACGGGUAGCUGGUCUGAGAGGAUGAUCAGCCACACUGGGACUGAGACACGGCCCAGACUCC